AUAACCAUCAGUAUAUUUUGUAGGAAAUGUGUUUGUCUUUUAUUUUUUUUUUUUUUUGAAAUUCUAAAGUGCAAUGUUUUGACUUCCGGUGUUAAGCUUCGCGCUUUGUGUUUAGGUUCGAGUGGAGCGCGCGCUCGGGUUAGUGCAGUUUUAGUAUAACGAUAGCGUUCAUCGACACUGGAUGUUAUAAUAUAUGUGUAAUUCAUGCUUGCAGCCCCUCAGAAGAGGCAAAAGCUCUUACGUUGGUGAUAUGGUGAACGGAAAAGGUUUAACAAAGGAUUAAAGCAUCAUAAAACCAUCA
Silurus meridionalis is the source of this 301-nucleotide long non-coding RNA. RefSeq lists it as uncharacterized. NCBI's taxonomy places the organism in Eukaryota, Metazoa, Chordata, Actinopteri, Siluriformes, Siluridae. The transcript is spliced from 2 exons. The record is from RefSeq and is a predicted model, not a curated record.